AUUGAACGCUGGCGGCAGGCCUAACACAUGCAAGUCGAACGAGUGGCGGACGGGUGAGUAAUGUCUGGGAAACUGCCCGAUGGAGGGGGAUAACUACUGGAAACGGUAGCUAAUACCGCAUAUUACCGGAUGUGCCCAGAUGGGUUUGGCUAGUAGGUGGGGUAACGGCUCACCUAGGCGACGAUCCCGAGCUGGUCUGAGAGGAUGACCAGCCACACUGGAACUGAGACACGGUCCAGACUCCUACGGGAGGCAGCAGUGGGGAAGAUUGCACAAUGGGCGCAAGCCUGAUGCAGCCAUUCCGCGUGUAUGAGGAAGGCCUUCGGGUUGUAAAGUACUUUCAGCGGGGAGGCGUUACUCGCAGAAGAAGCACCGGCUAACUCCGUGCCAGCCGCCGCGGUAAUUC
RNAcentral lists this ribosomal RNA (406 nucleotides) under uncultured bacterium. Its description in RNAcentral is "partial 16S ribosomal RNA". It matches the Rfam family "Bacterial small subunit ribosomal RNA", at positions 30 to 526 of the family's 1533-position model. The record is from RNAcentral.